GGGUGAGGAAUACAUCGGAAUCUACCCAGUUGUGGGGGAUAACGUAGGGAAACUUACGCUAAUACCGCAUACGACCUACGGGUGAAAGCAGGGGACCUUCGGGCCUUGCGCGAUUGGAUGAGCCGAUGUCGGAUUAGCUAGUUGGUGAGGUAAAGGCUCACCAAGGCGACGAUCCGUAGCUGGUCUGAGAGGAUGAUCAGCCACACUGGAACUGAGACACGGUCCAGACUCC
RNAcentral lists this ribosomal RNA (232 nucleotides) under uncultured bacterium. RNAcentral's name for it is "partial 16S ribosomal RNA". It matches the Rfam family "Bacterial small subunit ribosomal RNA", at positions 104 to 339 of the family's 1533-position model. The record is from RNAcentral.